Molecule: ribosomal RNA, 417 nt
Filed under: uncultured soil bacterium
Lineage: Bacteria
Description: bacterial SSU rRNA
Rfam family: Bacterial small subunit ribosomal RNA
Source: RNAcentral
UAAGAGCUUACCAAGGCGAUCAUCGGUUGCUGGUCUGAGAGGACGAUCAGCCCCACUGGGAUUGACAACGGCCCAGACUCCUGCGGGGGGCAGCAGUGAGGAAUUUUCCGCAAUGGACGAAAUUCUGACGGAGCAACGCCGCGUGCAGGAGGACGCUUUUCGGGGUGUAUACUGUUUUUCCCAGGGAAGAGAGCGGACGGUACCUGAAGAAGACGCCCCUGCUAACUACCUGCCAGCAGCCGCGGUAAUACGUAGGGGGCGAGCGUUGUCCGGAGUUACUGGGCGUAAAGGGCAUGCAGGCGGUCGUACGCGUUUUGUGUGACAGCGGGUGGCUUAACUACCCGAGUCUGCGAAAGACGGUACGACUUGGAGGGCUCGAAAGCAGACACAGUAUUGCCGGGUGGAGUGGUGAAAAUG